UACGUAGGCAGCAAGCGUUGUUCGGAGUUACUGGGCGUAAAGGGUGCGUAGGCGGUCCUAUAAGUAUGGUGUGAAAUCUCCCGGCUUAACUGGGAGGGUGCGCUAUAGACUGUGGGACUAGAGUGUGGGAGAGGAAAGUGGAAUUCCUGGUGUAGCGGUGAAAUGCGCAGAUAUCAGGAAGAACACCCGUGGCGAAGGCGGCUCUCUGGGACGGUACUGACGCUGAGACGCGAAAGCGUGGGGAGCGAACAGG
RNAcentral lists this ribosomal RNA (253 nucleotides) under uncultured bacterium. Its description in RNAcentral is "partial 16S ribosomal RNA". It matches the Rfam family "Bacterial small subunit ribosomal RNA", at positions 524 to 776 of the family's 1533-position model. The record is from RNAcentral.